This 152-nucleotide small nucleolar RNA is filed under the name Erinaceus europaeus (western European hedgehog). Its description in RNAcentral is "Small nucleolar RNA U3". It matches the Rfam family "Small nucleolar RNA U3". From Rfam's summary of the family: Small nucleolar RNAs (snoRNAs) are involved in the processing and modification of rRNA in the nucleolus. There are two main classes of snoRNAs: the box C/D class, and the box H/ACA class. Lineage: Eukaryota; Metazoa; Chordata; Mammalia; Eulipotyphla; Erinaceidae. The record is from Rfam by way of RNAcentral.
AAGACUAUACUUUCAGGGAUCAUUUCUAUAGUAUGUUACUAGAGAACCUUCUGUUUCUAAAUCCAAUAUUCUAUCCACUGUGCCACCUUCCAAACCACAAAGACAUUGUUUUUUCAGUCAACCCGGCUUUGACCUAGCACGUUAUGAUUGGG